GACGAACCAUGCAAACGUUAUUCGGAAUCACUGGGCUUAAAGCGUGCGUAGGCGGCUCAGAAAGUUGGGUGUGAAAUGCCUCGGCUCGACCGAGGAAUUGCGCCCAAAACUACUGAGCUCGAGGGAGUUAGAGGUGAGCGGAACUCACGGUGGAGCGGUGAAAUGCGUUGAUAUCGUGAGGAACACCGGAGGCGAAAGCGGCUCACUGGGGCUUCACUGACGCUGAGGCACGAAAGCUAGGGGAGCAAACGGG
Molecule: ribosomal RNA, 253 nt
Filed under: uncultured bacterium
Lineage: Bacteria
Description: partial 16S ribosomal RNA
Rfam family: Bacterial small subunit ribosomal RNA
Source: RNAcentral